This 750-nucleotide ribosomal RNA is filed under the name uncultured bacterium. Its description in RNAcentral is "bacterial SSU rRNA". It matches the Rfam family "Bacterial small subunit ribosomal RNA", at positions 43 to 805 of the family's 1533-position model. The record is from RNAcentral.
GGGGCAGCAUAUACUGCAGUCGAGCGAACCACUUCGGUGGGAAGCGGCGAACGGGUGAGUAACACGUAGGUGAUCUGCCCAUCAGACGGGGACAACGAUUGGAAACGAUCGCUAAUACCGGAUAGGACGAAAGUUUAAAGAUGCUCCUGGCAUCACUGAUGGAUGAGCCUGCGGCGCAUUAGCUAGUUGGUGGGGUAAAGGCCUACCAAGGCGACGAUGCGUAGCCGACCUGAGAGGGUGAACGGCCACACUGGGACUGAGGCACGGCCCAGACUCCUACGGGAGGCAGCAGUAGGGAAUCUUCGGCAAUGGGCGAAAGCCUGACCGAGCAACGCCGCGUGAAUGAAGAAGGCCUUCGGGUUGUAAAAUUCUGUUAUAAGGGAAGAAAGGUGAUAGGAGGAAAUGACUAUCAAUUGACGGUACCUUAUGAGAAAGCCACGGCUAACUACGUGCCAGCAGCCGCGGUAAUACGUAGGUGGCAAGCGUUAUCCGGAAUUAUUGGGCGUAAAGAGCGCGCAGGUGGUUAAUUAAGUCUGAUGUGAAAGCCCACGGCUUAACCGUGGAGGGUCAUUGGAAACUGGUUGACUUGAGUGCAGAAGAGGGAAGUGGAAUUCCAUGUGUAGCGGUGAAAUGCGUAGAGAUAUGGAGGAACACCGGUGGCGAAGGCGGCUUCCUGGUCUGCAACUGACACUGAGGCGCGAAAGCGUGGGGAGCAAACAGGAUUAGAUACCCUGGUAGUCCACGCCGUAA